RNAcentral lists this non-coding RNA (27 nucleotides) under Mus musculus (house mouse). Lineage: Eukaryota; Metazoa; Chordata; Mammalia; Rodentia; Muridae. The record is from RNAcentral.
UAAAAGGGGGAAACAAGAGAUUGCGUG